GACGAACGCUGGCGGCGUGCUUAACACAUGCAAGUCGAACGGAAAGGCCCUGCUUUUGGGGGGUGCUCGAGUGGCGAACGGGUGAGUAACACGUGAGUAACCUGCCCUUGACUUUGGGAUAACUUCAGGAAACUGGGGCUAAUACCGGAUAGGAGCUCCUGCUGCAUGGUGGGGGUUGGAAAGUUUCGGCGGUUGGGGAUGGACUCGCGGCUUAUCAGCUUGUUGGUGGGGUAGUGGCUUACCAAGGCUUUGACGGGUAGCCGGCCUGAGAGGGUGACCGGCCACAUUGGGACUGAGAUACGGCCCAGACUCCUACGGGAGGCAGCAGUGGGGAAUAUUGCACAAUGGGCGGAAGCCUGAUGCAGCAACGCCGCGUGCGGGAUGACGGCCUUCGGGUUGUAAACCGCUUUCGCCUGUGACGAAGCGUGAGUGACGGUAAUGGGUAAAGAAGCACCGGCUAACUACGUGCCAGCAGCCGCGGUGAUACGUAGGGUGCGGGCGUUGUCCGGAUUUAUUGGGCGUAAAGGGCUCGUAGGUGGUUGAUCGCGUCGGAAGUGUAAUCUUGGGGCUUAACCCUGAGCGUGCUUUCGAUACGGGUUGACUUGAGGAAGGUAGGGGAGAAUGGAAUUCCUGGUGGAGCGGUGGAAUGCGCAGAUAUCAGGAGGAACACCAGUGGCGAAGGCGGUUCUCUGGGCCUUUCCUGACGCUGAGGAGCGAAAGCGUGGGGAGCGAACAGGCUUAGAUACCCUGGUAGUCCACGCUGUAAACGGUGGGUACUAGGUGUGGGGUCCAUUCCACGGGUUCCGUGCCGUAGCUAACGCUUUAAGUACCCCGCCUGGGGAGUACGGCCGCAAGGCUAAAACUCAAAGGAAUUGACGGGGCCCCGCACAAGCGGCGGAGCAUGCGGAUUAAUUCGAUGCAACGCGUAGAACCUUACCUGGGUUUGACAUGGAUCGGGAGUGCUCAGAGAUGGGUGUGCCUCUUUUGGGGUCGGUUCACAGGUGGUGCAUGGCUGUCGUCAGCUCGUGUCGUGAGAUGUUGGGUUAAGUCCCGCAACGAGCGCAACCCUUGUUCACUGUUGCCAGCACGUUAUGGUGGGGACUCAGUGGAGACCGCCGGGGUCAACUCGGAGGAAGGUGGGGAUGGCGUCAAGUCAUCAUGCCCCUUAUGUCCAGGGCUUCACGCAUGCUACAAUGGCUGGUACAGAGAGUGGCGAGCCUGUGAGGGUGAGCGAAUCUCGGAAAGCCGGUCUCAGUUCGGAUUGGGGUCUGCAACUCGACCUCAUGAAGUCGGAGUCGCUAGUAAUCGCAGAUCAGCAACGCUGCGGUGAAUACGUUCCCGGG
Molecule: ribosomal RNA, 1343 nt
Filed under: uncultured bacterium
Lineage: Bacteria
Description: 16S ribosomal RNA
Rfam family: Bacterial small subunit ribosomal RNA
Source: RNAcentral